GGGCGAGUAGCUCAACUGGAUAGAGCACCGGCCUUCUAAGCCGGGGGUUGUGGGUUCGAUUCCCGCCUCGCCUACCA
Molecule: transfer RNA, 77 nt
Filed under: Acidobacteriota bacterium
Lineage: Bacteria; Pseudomonadati; Acidobacteriota
Also listed under: 5 other names
Description: tRNA-Arg
Rfam family: tRNA
About the family: Transfer RNA (tRNA) molecules are approximately 80 nucleotides in length. Their secondary structure includes four short double-helical elements and three loops (D, anti-codon, and T loops).
Source: RNAcentral